AAGUCGAACGGCAGCGCGGGGCAACCUGGCGGCGAGUGGCGAACGGGUGAGUAAUACAUCGGAACGUACCCUGUGAUGGGGGAUAACUACGCGAAAGCGUAGCUAAUACCGCAUACGACCUACGGGUGAAAGUGGGGGAUCGCAAGACCUCACGUCAUAGGAGCGGCCGAUGGCGGAUUAGCUAGUUGGUGAGGUAAAGGCUUACCAAGGCGACGAUCCGUAGCUGGUCUGAGAGGACGACCAGCCACACUGGGACUGAGACACGGCCCAGACUCCUACGGGAGGCAGCAGUGGGGAAUCUUGGACAAUGGGCGAAAGCCUGAUCCAGCAAUGCCGCGUGUGGGAUGAAGGCCCUCGGGUUGUAAACCACUUUUGGCGGGGACGAA
This 386-nucleotide ribosomal RNA is filed under the name uncultured bacterium. RNAcentral's name for it is "bacterial SSU rRNA". It matches the Rfam family "Bacterial small subunit ribosomal RNA", at positions 59 to 449 of the family's 1533-position model. The record is from RNAcentral.